RNAcentral lists this ribosomal RNA (329 nucleotides) under uncultured eukaryote. RNAcentral describes it as "partial 18S ribosomal RNA". It matches the Rfam family "Eukaryotic small subunit ribosomal RNA", at positions 1470 to 1796 of the family's 1831-position model. The record is from RNAcentral.
CCCUUAGAUGUCCGGGGCCGCACGCGCGCUACACUGAAGGAAUCAGCGUGGCUUUCUCCCUGACCCGAGAGGGUUGGGAAACCCGUUGAAUCUCCUUCGUGAUAGGGAUUGGGGCUUGAAAUUGUUCCCCAUGAACGAGGAAUUCCCAGUAAGCGCGAGUCAUAAGCUCGCGUUGAUUACGUCCCUGCCCUUUGUACACACCGCCCGUCGCUCCUACCGAUUGGGUGUGCUGGUGAAAUGUUCGGAUCGGCCGUUUGUCGCGGUUUCCGCGUCAUGUGGCUGAGAAGUUCAUUAAACCCUCCCACCUAGAGGAAGGAGAAGUCGUAACA